RNAcentral lists this ribosomal RNA (827 nucleotides) under uncultured Rothia sp. RNAcentral's name for it is "bacterial SSU rRNA". It matches the Rfam family "Bacterial small subunit ribosomal RNA", at positions 504 to 1321 of the family's 1533-position model. Lineage: Bacteria; Bacillati; Actinomycetota; Actinomycetes; Micrococcales; Micrococcaceae. The record is from RNAcentral.
CGUGCCAGCAGCCGCGGUAAUACGUAGGGCGCGAGCGUUGUCCGGAAUUAUUGGGCGUAAAGAGCUUGUAGGCGGUUUGUUGCGUCUGCUGUGAAAGACCGGGGCUUAACCCCGGUAUUGCAGUGGGUACGGGCAGACUAGAGUGCAGUAGGGGAGACUGGAAUUCCUGGUGUAGCGGUGAAAUGCGCAGAUAUCAGGAGGAACACCGAUGGCGAAGGCAGGUCUCUGGGCUGUAACUGACGCUGAGAAGCGAAAGCAUGGGGAGCGAACAGGAUUAGAUACCCUGGUAGUCCAUGCCGUAAACGUUGGGCACUAGGUGUGGGGGACAUUCCACGUUUUCCGCGCCGUAGCUAACGCAUUAAGUGCCCCGCCUGGGGAGUACGGCCGCAAGGCUAAAACUCAAAGGAAUUGACGGGGGCCCGCACAAGCGGUGGAGCAUGCGGAUUAAUUCGAUGCAACGCGAAGAACCUUACCAAGGCUUGACAUAUACUGGACCGCCUCANAGAUGGGGUUUCCCUUCGGGGCUGGUAUACAGGUGGUGCAUGGUUGUCGUCAGCUCGUGUCGUGAGAUGUUGGGUUAAGUCCCGCAACGAGCGCAACCCUCGUUCUAUGUUGCCAGCACGUUAUGGUGGGGACUCAUAGGAGACUGCCGGGGUCAACUCGGAGGAAGGUGGGGAUGACGUCAAAUCAUCAUGCCCCCUUAUGUCUUGGGCUUCACGCAUGCUACAAUGGCCGGUACAAAGGGUUGCGAUACUGUGANGUUGAGCUAAUCCCCAAAAAAGCCNGUCUCANUUCGGAUUGGNGGUCUGCAACUCNCACCCCCCCAU